GCGGCAGGCUUACACAUGCAAGUCGAGCGGGCAUAGCAAUAUGUCAGCGGCAGACGGGUGAGUAACGCGUGGGAACGUACCUUUUGGUUCGGAACAACUGAGGGAAACUUCAGCUAAUACCGGAUAAGCCCUUACGGGGAAAGAUUUAUCGCCGAAAGAUCGGCCCGCGUCUGAUUAGCUAGUUGGUGAGGUAAUGGCUCACCAAGGCGACGAUCAGUAGCUGGUCUGAGAGGAUGAUCAGCCACAUUGGGACUGAGACACGGCCCAAACUCCUACGGGAGGCAGCAGUGGGGAAUAUUGGACAAUGGGCGCAAGCCUGAUCCAGCCAUGCCGCGUGAGUGAUGAAGGCCCUAGGGUUGUAAAGCUCUUUUGUGCGGGAAGAUAAUGACGGUACCGCAAGAAUAAGCCCCGGCUAACUUCGUGCCAGCAGCCGCGGUAAUACGAAGGGGGCUAGCGUUGCUCGGAAUCACUGGGCGUAAAGGGUGCGUAGGCGGGUCUUUAAGUCAGGGGUGAAAUCCUGGAGCUCAACUCCAGAACUGCCUUUGAUACUGAAGAUCUUGAGUUCCGGACAGGUGAAUGGAACUGCCACUGUAAAGGUGAAAUUCAUAUAUUUUCGCAAACACACCACCGCCGAAGGCGGUUCAUUGUCCC
RNAcentral lists this ribosomal RNA (651 nucleotides) under Bradyrhizobium sp. Its description in RNAcentral is "bacterial SSU rRNA". It matches the Rfam family "Bacterial small subunit ribosomal RNA", at positions 39 to 735 of the family's 1533-position model. The record is from RNAcentral. Lineage: Bacteria; Pseudomonadati; Pseudomonadota; Alphaproteobacteria; Hyphomicrobiales; Nitrobacteraceae.